RNAcentral lists this long non-coding RNA (538 nucleotides) under Olea europaea subsp. europaea. Lineage: Eukaryota; Viridiplantae; Streptophyta; Magnoliopsida; Lamiales; Oleaceae. The record is from RNAcentral.
AUGGAUUUAUUACCGAAUUAUGUAUAUUUGGACAUAAUGUCAUACGAUAUUUUAUCAUUGAACUAAUUUAAAUACAAUUACAUUGACCUUAAAUUAUGUCACUACAUCUGUUAAAUUUCUUCUGACAAAGUGGAAAAAUCCAUUAUUACUACAUCUAAUGUGGACGCCACAUGUGGGCCAUAUUAAACUCAAAAGCCACGGGUCAUUUAUUGGCCACGUCAUCGGAUAGCCAAACAAAAUUUUGUGAACACUAAGGGGCCUCGGUGAAGUUAAUAAUGUGAGGCUUUGAACCUACCUCGUCAACGAGGAAAGGCUUGCCAAAGGUGAUUCAUACCCCUAUCAAACCUCGAGUAGUUGAAACAAGGCGAAUCUUAUCCCGUCCUCUCUAGAUGCAAGUUGAAUGGCGAACCUAUUGGCCUUGUGAGAACUCUCAAUCUCAUGCAAAAGUAAAAGAGAGAGAAGAUGAAGAUGCGAUGUUGUCUAAAAUAACUGAAUAGCAAAUGCUGUCACAGCACAUGAGUUGAAACCACUAACAAAA